AUUGGUGCCUCUUUGACCUCACAGUCAAGACAAACGUCUGCACAUUGGACUUUGUAAUGAAGAGAGCUUCAUUACUGGGUCUACUUUUACUUAAAUCACUGUAUAGCACUUUAAAUGCACUUUAUGAACAAGCACUUUAUUUAGCACUGCACUUUAAGCAGAGAUUUGCACAUAAAUAGCAAUUUGCACACGAGAAGUUUUAAUGGUAUUUAUUGAGUAUUUUUAGUAAUUAGCAUGUAGCCUUUUGUUCUGGGCUCUGCACAGCUGCUCGUCAUUGGAAAGUGAGCUGGUUGCCUGUGGAGGGAGGAUAAUUGUUACUCAGAGCAAUGAGCUACUGGGUGUUUGGGCAAAUACUACCCCGGGGGUCCAGACACCAUUUAUAGGUUUUGGGAGAGGCCAUUGAAAAGUGUGGGGAGAUAAUCGUUUAUGGGUUUUUGUGGUGUUUCAUUUGGUGUAGGAUAAAAUAUGAAAUAUUUAUAAAAAGUAAAUUUAAAUGUUUAUAUUUAUUAAAGUGUAUUUUAUUUAAAUAGGUGGAGAUUUGUUAAGGGAGAUCCCACUGUGAAGUGGAAGUGGUUGAGUCCAACACAGCUGAGACUAUUUAAGCCUUCAGUUUUCACCUGUGAAGAAAAUAAUUAUUGUCUGUGUAUUGAUGCUGUGAGGAGAAUAAACCCACUGCUGUUACCACCUGA
Poecilia reticulata (guppy) is the source of this 689-nucleotide non-coding RNA. Lineage: Eukaryota; Metazoa; Chordata; Actinopteri; Cyprinodontiformes; Poeciliidae. The record is from RefSeq and is a predicted model, not a curated record.